Capra hircus (goat) is the source of this 5418-nucleotide long non-coding RNA. NCBI's taxonomy places the organism in Eukaryota, Metazoa, Chordata, Mammalia, Artiodactyla, Bovidae. The record is from Ensembl.
GUCCUGGGACUUCUGAAUCCAGUCCUUGCAUGGUUAUGAUGACAGGGCCCUUGGGGAACAUCAAACUUGGAAACAGGAAGAGCCUAUUAUACUUGAAUCUCCGGGCAAUGUUUGUUUCCUUGGGAAUCCAAAAGAAGACUUCAAACUCUAAACCUUUGAGAGGUUUCUUACUGGUUUGGAACAUAGGGAAGAAUGGAAGUGUUUGAUGAAAUUGGGCAGAGAAAUCUUGACUGAGGAAGUUGGAGGAGUGCCAGUUUCUAGGGCAAGGUGGCAGAGAAGAAGGACCCGAGCUCACCUACUCUCAUGAAAAAAACAAAAUCACAACUAACAGCUGAACAAUCAUCAACAAAAAAGACUGGGAACCUACCACUAAAAAGAAGAGGCCAUAAUGAGACGGCUCUUUGGCAGAAGGAGAACAUGAGUUUUAGAUCUGUGGGUUCUGAGGAUUAUAACAUGGGAAGCAUGUUUCAAACUGACUAUCACAGAGUCAAGAGUGUCUUUGGAAAAUACAUCACACAUUCACCUGCUCAGAAUAGAAACAACCCAUAUAUUCCACAGUGAAGAAAGAAUAUCAAGAGAAGCAUUGUCAGAGCUUCUGGAUAUUUCUUACCAUAUGAGGAGUUAAGAAGUGAAUGUGGAAGCUUCAUGAAAUUCAAAUAUUUUAUUAAUAUAAUUGAAAUUGUUUUAUGAUUUGGGAACUUACUGAUAAAGCUUUGUAAAACUGUAGAUAAUAAACUAUAUUUAGUUACAUAUUGAAUAAGUCAUUUUCAUCAAAGUCACCCUGCUCUUUUAUUGUACUUACAAAGCUUUAUUACAACAAUAACAUUUGUAAUUUUUAUUCAUUGUUUAAUAUUGUUUGUUCCUUACUUAACUGUAAGCUCCAGGAAUGCAGGAACCAUAUUUUUUAGUUUAUCAUUGUAAACCUAGGAAAGUAUCCAGUACUUAAUAGCUGAUGAAUAAAUUUAUGAAUUUAAAAGACUGAAAAUUGGUAAUCACUUUGAAAAUCCAGAAUGUAUAGUUAUCAUUCUUACAUGUCAAAGUGAAAUUCAUUUAAUACUUUUGGAAAGUUCUAUGCAAGAACAUUGCUUACAUUCCCUGAGGUGUCAAUUGCCAUACCAAAGGUCUUGUUACCUGAAUACUAUGGCCUAAAUUUUCCUAUUCAAAGGCAGUAAACUCCUCUGUCAAUCUUUUUGAAAAUCCAGUUAAUGCUAAGUCUGGGGUGACACAUUCAACCUCAAAAUUUUAGCAACUUGGUGCUGGGUAAGGUGUUUAAAAUACUUUCAAUAAAUAACAAAGCUGGAAAGGCUGUGAAGAAAAGAGAAACCUUCUACACUGUUAGUGGGAAUGUAAGUUGGUGCAGCCACUAUUGGAAACAGCAUGGAGGCUACUCAGAAAACCAAAAAUAGCAUUACCAUAUGAUCUAGCAUCCCUACUCCUGGGCGUAUACCUAGACAAAACUAUAAUUCAAAAAGAUACAUAUAUGCACCAUAUGUCCAUAGUGGUACUGUUUAUACUAGUGAAAACAUGGCGACAACCUAAAUAUCCAUUUACAGGUGAAUAAAUAAGGAAGAUGUAGUAUAUAUAUACAAUGGAAUUCUACUCAGCCAUAAAAAGAACAAAAUAAUGCCAUUUGCAGCAACAGGGAUGCAACUAGAGAUUGUUAUACUAAGUUAAAUAAGUCAAGACAAAUACCGUAUGGUAUCACUUGUACAUAGAAUCUAAAAUUUGACACAAAUGAACAUAUCUACAAAACAGAAACAGACUCAGAUGUAGCUCAGACUUGUGGUUGUCAAGGGAGAGGUGGGGAAGGAGAGUGAUCUGGGCAUUUGGGGUUGUGUGAUGUAAACUACUGCAUUUAGAUAGCAUAUUAAGAAACAGAGACAGUACUUUGCCAACAAAGAUCCAUCUACCCAAGGCUAUGGUUUUUCCAGUAGUCAUGUAUGGAUGUGAGAGUUGGACUGUGAAGAAAGCUGAGUGCCGAAGAAUUAUGCUUUUCAACUGUGGUGUUGGAGAAGACUCUUGAGAGUCCCUUGGACUGCAAGGAGAUCCAACCAGUCCAUCCUAAAGGAGAUCAGUCCUGAGGGUUCGUUGGAAGGACUGAUGCUAAAGCUGAAACUCCAAUACUUUGGCCACCUCAUAGGGAAAAUUGACUCAUUGGAAAAGACCCUGAUCCUGGGAGGGACUGGGGGCAGGAGGAAAAGGGGAUGACAGAGGAUGAGAUGGCUGGAUGGCAUCACCGACUUGAUGGACAUAAGUUUGGGUAAACUCUGGGAGUUGGUGAUGGACAGGGAGGCUUGGCGUGCUGCAAUUCAUGGGGUCACAAAGAGUUGGACACGACUGAGCGACUGAACUGAACUAAACUGCAUUUAGAGUGGAUAAAGAGCAAGAUCCUACCUACCUAGGGAAUUAUAUCCAACUUCCCAGGGUAAACUACAAUGGAAAAGAAUAUUUAAAGAAGAAUAUAUGUGUAAAACUGUCCUGUACAGCAGAAAUUGGCACAACAUUGUGCCAAUCAACCAUACUUCAAUGAAAAAAAGAAAAUACUUUUUUUUGGCCAUAAUUAGCAUUCAAAUAUUAAUAUAUUUCUUUUUUUUUUCUUCAUAGCUACUACCUGUGCCUGUUAUGUGAUUGGCUAGUGGUUAAAAAUGAUUGGCACAUGUGAGCGCCCCACCCCUCACUGGCCCAGUUCCCAACAGCCCCUAGUAAAGGUGAUAUAUAGAGCAUGAUGUUUAUCCUCAAGAUUCCUUAAAUACCCAUACAUUCAUCUGAAAUACUCCUAGUCCUAUAACCCCAGGUACUUCUGGUGGCUGAAGAUCUUGGGAUGUGGGACCCUUGCCCAACCCAGAGCAGGUUUUCCAGCUUAGAGUCAUUCCCCUCUCCACCAACAUUCCUAUUGUUAAAGGGCAAUUUGUGGCCUUUUUAGAAAUAUUUGGCAAUUUCUCAGCAGUGUUAUCUUGGGAAAAUUUUUCUAAAGUGUGAAAAUGGGGGGAAAAAUGAUUGCAAGUCCUUUCAGUAUCAUGUUACAAAAGUGCUUCUCCAAUUGUAAUACACACCUAAAUAAACUGGUGAUACUUUUUAAAUGCAAAUCGUGAUUCCAUGCACCUGGAGUAGGGACCCAGAUUUUGGAAUGCUGCUUGACGAUACUACCCAUUUUGAACAGCAAUGUUUGGGGACAGAUUGUUGAAAGCCCUUGUAAAAGGCCACGCCAAUUUCUAGGGUGGUGGUUCUCAAACUCGGUUGCACGUUAGAACUGCUCAAAGAGGUUUUAAAAAAUCCUGUUGCUCAGGCCUUACUCAGUUUCCAAGUAGAUGGGAAUAUUGGGGGAUAAGACCUUAUCAUCAGUGUUUUUUAAAACUCCCUAGCUGUUUCUAAUAUAUUCUAAGGGAAUAUAACUUUGCUUACACAGCUGAUUAGGGCCAUUUUACAGUUCUGUAAAACUGCUAAGCUGUGAUGGUUUCAUUGCCCUAUAGGACUUUAACUAAUUUUGUAUCUAAUUUGGUACUUUAUUUCAGCUUUUUUUUCCUCCCCUACUGACUAAAAAAUUCUAAUUUCUCAAAUUUUAUUUUGUCAUCUUGCUAGCUCUCUCAUUAGUGAGUUAAGUAAAACUUUGACACACAAUGCUUCAAUGGUUUUCCUCUAUUUGAUCCAGUCUAUUAUCCUAAUUUCUCAGCCAGUAGCUACAUUUUCUCUUUUGUUUGAGCAAGAGCCAACCUUUUUUUGGAAGUUGCUAAUGAACACAUUAUAAAUUCAUAUGGUAUUUUGGGGUCUCCAACACCUCCUACCAUUCUUGGUACAACACUAAUCAAACCAACAAUUCAUUGCUAGUUUAGUCAUUAUUGACAAACUUGAUAUUAAAGUACAUUUUUGGAAAUCAGUUUACACUGUGACCUGUGCCAAUUCACUAUCAUUUGGGAGAUCGUUCCCUCUCUUAUUUACAAGAGAAAUGCCACAGCAUAGCUGUCAGCUGACUUGGACCUGGAGCUCUUUUCCUACAGUGGGGGUAAGUUGGCUCGAGUUCACCUGCAUUUCCCCUGCAGCUUCCCCUCAUGACUGAUGGCUCCCAUUUGCAGGAUGUCAGGCCAGGGUUUGAGCGACUGCCUGUAGCAAAGUAAAUUGGCCCACUUAGGGAUCAAACCUGUGAACUUGGCUUCAUCAGCACAGUAAUCUUAGCAGAGGCACGAACCUGCCACUUUAUCAGCUGAUUGAUUUCACUGAAAGUUAUGAUGAAAUUGUUCUGCAUCUCAGCUAAAGAAACACUGUGUUAGAGAUGCCUAAAGAUGAAUAUACUUUUGAUGUAAAAAAUGUAAAAUGUAAGAUUGAUGAAAAAUAAUUAAAAUUAUAUUUACAUAUUUUGAAAAAUCUCACACAAGUAAGGGCAUCUAUCCUGAGCUUAUAACAUAUCUCUUUAGUCUUCACCUUUAAUAUGAUAUUCUAAUUAAAAAAAAAGUAUGUUUUACCAACACAGCUAUAUUUAUUGCCAAUUUUCAUAAUAUACAGUAAAUAUUAAGAGAGACUAUAAAGACAUGCCUCAGUUGGAAGUCUUUCUCUUCAGUUUUAUCCUCUUGUAAAUGAUUCACUUAUUCUGAAGAUUACAUUUUUCGAAUAAUUGUGAAUAAGAAAAAUGUUUUCUAGUUUGAAACUCUCUGGCUUCAUAUGGUCCAGUCAUUGAAUGUCUUCCAUUAGGACAAGUAACCUUUUUGGAUAUCUAUGAUGAUAGGAAUUAACUGGGAAUCAUUUCUAGUCAAAUCUGUUGAGUAAGGUAUAGAUUUACAUUGUUUUAAUUAACUGCAGAUAUAACAUGUGACUUGAAAAAAAAUAUAACCGCUUUUCUCAAGUGGAUUGUAAACUAGUCUUGAAGGCUCUUUCCAAAAGGGAAUUUCAAAAUAUUUUAAGAUAAUGCAAAAGUUAAUGAAAUAAGUAAAACCUGUCAUGGUGCAUAUGAUAAAAGGCAUUAUUUAUCUUGAUAUUAACUUUCUGAAAAUAUAUUUUGUUCAGUUUUUUUUUGAUUCAUUACACAUAGAUACAAUAUUUCAGUACUUUUAAAAAGUAUUGACAUGACUGAAUCAAAUUUUUUUGCCUUAAUUGAUUAUUUUUGGAAAAACAAGAAGUUCACAUACUAAAUCUCAAAGGGAAAUAAAGGGGAGGACAGAAAGAUGAUGUUUUAUAAUACUUGAAUAAUUGUAAUUCAUUUUUUGUAGCAAAUGCUUAUGAUCAGUGAGUUCAAACAUUUAACUUUAUAAUGAAAUUUUAGCUAUGUUAUUAAUGAAAUGGUUAGUAUCAGUGUCUUUUGGAAUUAAAAUUAUUGUUCAAAUAUAAUGAACUAUUUGACAAAGAAUUUGUCGAUUUAUAUUUUCCCAAGCAGGGAAAAUAAUUGUGUUUUUCAAAAUAGUAACUGCUAACAGUGAAGUCUAAUGUAAU